Molecule: long non-coding RNA, 1169 nt
Organism: Myxocyprinus asiaticus (Chinese sucker)
Lineage: Eukaryota; Metazoa; Chordata; Actinopteri; Cypriniformes; Catostomidae
Exons: 2
Source: RefSeq, a predicted model, not a curated record
CUUUUUGCUGUCUUGUAGGAAGUGCCCACGUACCAUUUAUUUGAAUGGUGGCAAAUACAUGGUUCGUGGAUAGCCAUUUUUUAGCUAAUUAUACAUUUUAAAGAGUUGUAAAUUGAAUAAGUGGGUUCCAUUGAGUAUGUUGAGUGUUAUACAGGGUGUUUUAUUGAUAAAAACAUAACUGAAAAACAAAUAAUAAAAACAGGGAACAUGACUUUGAUUAACCAAAAUAAUAAACUUUAAAACACAACUGCAAAAAAAAUACAUAAAAAAAAAAUUUAAACAAAAAGAACAUGAUUAACAGAAACAAUACAUCUUGUUAACUAUAAAAAACACAACUGCAAAACAAAUAAAAAAGGAACAUGAACACAGGACUGUAUUCACAGGAGUUCUUAUCUCGCCAUUAACCACAGAUGCUUAAUCCCUAACCCUAACAUCGAUCAAGAUUGGUGGGCAUUCCACAUAGUGGAUCAGAAUAAAAUCAGUCUGAUAUGUGGAGAGCAUGAAGACAGACACGUGCUGUCUUCAUGCUCUCUUCACCAGCGGGUGACUUGGCAACAUACUCCCGACUCAGGGAGUGACAAAAAAUAACAAUACAGGUCUCUUUCGAGGCCCUGUAAUUGGAAGGCGCGAUAAACAAAAAAACAACUGCAAAACAAAAUUAAAAAAGGAAUAUGAUUAACACAAACAAUACAACUUGUUAACUAUAAAAAAAAAACACAACUGCAAAACAAAUAUAAAAAAGGAACAUGAACACAGGACUAUAUAUCACACCAUCCUUUAACCACAGAUGCUUGAUCGAUGUUAGGGUUAGGGAUCCAGAUAGGAUGGCGUUUUACAUAGUGGAUCAGAAUAAAAUCAGUCUGAUAUGUGGAGAGCAUGAAGACAGAAACGUGCUGACAGACACGUGCUGUCUUCAUGCUCUCUUCACCAGUGGGUGACAUGGCAACUUACUCCCGACUCAGGGAGUGACAAAAAAUAACAAUACAGGUCUCUUUCGAGGCCCUGUGAUUGGAAGGAGCGAUUUAAAAAAAAUUAAAUUAAAUAAAAAAAAACUGCAAAACAAAAUUAAAAACAAAGAACAUGACUUUAACACAAACAUUGUAAACUAUAAAAACAACUGCAAAACUAAAUUAAAAAACAAGGAAGAUGAUUAACACAAACAAUACAAC